UCCGGUUUGUCACCGGCGGUCCCCUUAGAGUUCCCAACUUAAUGCUGGCAACUAAGGGCAAGGGUUGCGCUCGUUGCGGGACUUAACCCAACAUCUCACGACACGAGCUGACGACAGCCAUGCACCACCUGUGCGGGCUCCGAAGAGCACCGUGUUUCCACGGUUUCACCCCGCAUGUCAAGCCCUGGUAAGGUUCUUCGCGUUGCGUCGAAUUAAGCCACAUGCUCCGCCGCUUGUGCGGGCCCCCGUCAAUUCUUUUGAGUUUUAGCCUUGCGGCCGUACUCCCCAGGCGGGAUGCUUAAUGCGUUAGCUGCGCCACCAACAAGCAUGCUUGCUGACGGCUAGCAUCCAUCGUUUAAGGCGUGGACUAC
This 371-nucleotide unclassified non-coding RNA is filed under the name uncultured bacterium. Its description in RNAcentral is "contains 16S-23S intergenic spacer region". The record is from RNAcentral.